This 253-nucleotide ribosomal RNA is filed under the name uncultured bacterium. Its description in RNAcentral is "partial 16S ribosomal RNA". It matches the Rfam family "Bacterial small subunit ribosomal RNA", at positions 524 to 776 of the family's 1533-position model. The record is from RNAcentral.
UACGAAGGGGGCUAGCGUUGUUCGGAAUUACUGGGCGUAAAGCGCGUGUAGGCGGUUGCCAUAGUCAGGUGUGAAAGCCUUGAGCUCAACUCAAGAAAUGCACUUGAUACUGGGCGACUAGAGGACCGGAGAGGAUAGUGGAAUUCCCAGUGUAGUGGUGAAAUACGUAGAGAUUGGGAAGAACACCAGUGGCGAAGGCGGCUAUCUGGACGGUUUCUGACGCUAAGACGCGAAAGCGUGGGGAGCAAACAGG